GUAAACCUUUUUUUCCAGGACAGGGCUUCUGUGUAGCUUUGGCUGUCCUGAAUCUCGAUCUGUAGACCAGGUUGGUUCCAAACACAGAGUCCCUUCAGAGGUACCCCUGCCUGUCUCUAACCCUGAGUGCUGGAAUUAAAGGUGCAUGCUACCAUCACCAGGCUAAAAACCUUUUCAGCUCCUGGAAAUUUCUCAAGGAAGGAGGAAAUUCUAGGCUGUGUCCUUAAGCCACGGAAAGAAUGAUGGAAGAUUCCACUUCCACCACCCAAACCAGCCUCAGGGCUUUGUGGUGCUACAAUAGGCAGCCAUUCAUGUAGCAGUCUUCCACCCCAGCCUCUCUCCUUUAUUGCCUCAGACCUAGGAUGCUAGUUCUUAGAAUCACUCUUCUGGUGUUUCCAUGCAUCAAUAUACCCCACAUGAUGCAAACCUUCCUCUUAAACAUUUUUUAUUAAUGCCUUGAUAACUUCAUGUAUUUUGAUCAUAGUCACCCCGUCAUCCAAAUCCACCUCCAGGCUAAGCCAUCUUGCCAACCUGAUCUGUCUGUCUGUCUGUCUCUCUCUCUCAUAUUAUCUGCGUCCGUGCAUAUGUGCGUGUGCGUGUGUGUGUGCGUGCGUGUGUGUGUGUGUGUGUGUGUGUGUGUGUGAUGAUUUGUAUAUGCUCAGCCCAGGGAGUAGCACUACUAGAAGGUGUAGCCCUGUUGGAGUAGGUGUGUCACUGUGGUUGUAGGCUUUAAGACCCUCAUCCUAGCUUCCUGAAAGCCAGUAUUCUGCCAGCAGCCUUCAGAUGAAGAUGUAGAACUGUCACCUCCUGCACCAUGCCUGCCUGGAUGCUACCAUGUUCCCACCUUGAUGAUAAUGGACUGAACCUCUGAACCUAACACUGGAUCAUCGAAGGCCAUGACUACGUUUAAGGGAAAAAUCUAACACGGAAGACAAUAUUCGGUUUCUUUCCACUUAAAAUGUAAAAGAACGACUUUACAAUGAAUUGGAAAAUAACUAUUUUCCCUUGAA
Molecule: long non-coding RNA, 1010 nt
Organism: Rattus norvegicus (Norway rat)
Lineage: Eukaryota; Metazoa; Chordata; Mammalia; Rodentia; Muridae
Source: RefSeq, a predicted model, not a curated record